Long non-coding RNA from Dendroctonus ponderosae (mountain pine beetle), 993 nucleotides. RefSeq lists it as uncharacterized. Lineage: Eukaryota; Metazoa; Arthropoda; Insecta; Coleoptera; Curculionidae. The record is from RefSeq and is a predicted model, not a curated record. The transcript is spliced from 2 exons.
CGCGUUGAGGAUCCGCUGGUAGUGGCUUUUGUCCUGACCUGAACACAAGAUUAUUUGGGUGCGUUUUGUUCAGUUGAGUUACGUGUUCACUUUAUUAAGAGCUGCUCUGUUAGAUUAGUACCAAUUAUGAGAGAUCCUGGAAAUAGAUGUGGAGAAAUCCGCGGUUUAAGACGCAAGUCUUCCGACGCCUCUGGAUACUUGCUGGGAAGGGCCGCAUGUCGGUACCGUUCCAAGCUCAGCUCCAUUGGGACUGCUCCUGUGGGUUCCACCUCUUCGGCAAAUACUUGAGAAUCUGAAGGUAAAUCAGGAGGGUCUGGGAAAAUGUACUUUUAGUGAGUUUGGGAAAUAGUUACCAAUCAGCAGCAGACGCACGUGAUUGAUAACGUAGGAUAACUGUUGGCAUACUCGCGCUCUUUCCUCCUCGUUCCAAUGAGGGGUUGGCUGGGUGACUCCAACUUGAUAUUUAGCCCAAUUUAAUACUGCCCUCCACACAUCUUCCUCUUCAAGGCAUAGCUAUAAAAUAUGAAUAGUUACCCCAUUUAUUUUAUUAGGUUUGAGGGUCCGCACCAUUGCGCAUUUAAGUUGGUUGUGGGAGUAUACAAAAAGGGUUUUUUUUAGGUUUCACGUUUAUGAAUCUCAACUCUUUUUAAACUGCGCCACUGAGCAUUGGAGUUCGCUGAAAGAAUCUAGUUUUUACUUACAGUCGGCUUAGAAAAUCGCCAUAUUCUAUCCGCCCUCAUAACGUAGUAUUUUAAGAUGCUAUCAUGCAUGCAAAUGUUUUGCGUCUAUAGGCAAAAAUAAAACAAUAAUUUGCAUUUAUUUAAACUGAAAGCAGAAUUAAAAUUCUAAUAGUUGCAUUCGAACAAUAUUUAAUUUAAAACCAUCUGUAGUAUAGCAUAUAAAACAAUCGUUUUGUUUCUUCAUUUUCUUCCUUGUUUCUGACUGUGUUCAUUUAAAGAUUUAUCUCUUUUUAAUUAAAUAUUUCCUAAUGUU